UUUUUUCCCUCCUCCUUCGCGUCGAUCCGUGCCCUAACCGCUUCGAGACGGUUUCUUCUCCUCUUCCCCUUUUUCUUCCGCGACGCCAAGCCUUCUCUUCUUCUUCCCGAACCCGACCGUCUCCUAAACCUCGUCGUUUGUCCCCUUCUCUUCUCCUCUGCGCGUCGACACCGACCCAGCGCCACCGCCGUCCCGACGCCACCUCCUCUCCCUCUGCCCUAAUCUGGGUUGCGGGCACGCCCUAGCGUUUGCCGACGCAGCCCCGAUCUCCGACGCUACUGAUCGUCGGUUGCCGGUGUCCGUGACCCGCGGCUCCCUUCUUCCCUCUAUGUUUCCAUCGGCCACCAUAGACGACGUCGACUUCACUGUGCAUUGUCAUCCCAUGCCCUAGAUCAUCGGAAGCUGAGAGUGUGGUUAGGCGACUGAGAGAAGACACAGAUUCAAGGACAGAGAGCUGUGUGCCCUAGUCGAUCACCACUGACAACAGUGAGCUACAACCACAGAAGAAGGUUAGUGGGCGCCUGGAGUUGCAGAUUUUUUUUACCACCACAACACUGAAUGCCUAGUUGUUCCCGUGAUACCCAUGUUUGAUCCGAUCAGUGCAAGACUUUGACGCGGGACGAGCACUUCGACACAGAGGUUGUUUAGCUCGAUCCAUAUUGAGGCGGGUUGAGGCUGUCCAGAAGAGUUCCAGUCGCUAGUCCCUUGCAGAUCGUGAGGAUUGUGAUUGUGACUGGGACAACAGAGAAGAGGUUUUCGGAAGUUGAAGGCAUCAUUAGAAGGCAGAUAAAGGUGUUUGGUUCUUCCAAGUGUGCAACCGUUUCAUGCUAUUGCAUACCCAGUUGAUACAGUGCUUGUAUUGGAGAUAAGGCGACUAUUUACUGAAUUCAACAUUGCUGUCAUUGUUUUCCAUCAACUGUGCUUGUAUUGGAGAUAAGUCGAAAAUAUGAAGUACACUGCUGGUUGAUUGCUUCACCUUACAAGCUUCCUGCAUUUGUCCAUCCACCUCGUAUUCCUCUGUAGGCUGAUAGAAAAAGUGGGAGACUGAAGAUUGGGUACGUUAGCGGUGACUUUGGCAAUCACCCACGCUCACAUCUUAUGGCCUGUCUUUGGAAUGCACAAUCGAGAGAAUGUUGAGGUUGUCUGUUAUGCAUUGAGUCAAAAUGAUGGCAGUGAGUGGCGCAGUGUAUCCAGUCUGAAGCAGAAUAUUUUAUUGAUUCGUCUUCAAUGUCAUCUGAUUUGAUUGCUAGAAAGAUCAAUGAAGAUAUGAUACAUAUCCUAGUAAACCUCAAUGGUUACAUUAAGAUUGACGAGGGUGCUGAGGCAUAUUGCCAUAAUAGAUAAGGCGACGGGAAUAUGCUCCUGUCGGUAGUGGCUAGAGGAAGAUCCCUCUCUGGUGGGGCUCGUUGGACACGCUUCGCUAGACGGUGGAAGAGUGGAGGGGCUGUGGGAGCACAACCCCGACGAGAAUUGGAGUAGCUUCUGGUGAAGCUUCCAACUUCAGCACUGGAGGCUGGGCUCCAGUCAAGCAAGGCCCUCCACCCAACCAGGGAUGGGCUGUGGAGCACAAGCGCAUUCUUUGGUUGUGAAGGCUGGGUGGGGAGAGCAACUCCCGGAGUCGGGCAAGCACGCCAGAAUCAUCAGCAAAUCAACUCAGGCAAGGCAACGAGAGGGCUUAGCCUUCUUCCCUCUGUUCUGGGCCUCUUCAUGGUUUGGCCGGAAUAUUUGGUUGUUGCUGAAUGCCGUGCAUAGAUUAUAGAGAGCACCUCUCCGGCGGGACCACAGUGCGUGCUGAAGAAGUGACCGGUGAUGAGUGGGAAUGGGCGGCAGAGGGUGUGGCUGCAGUGCACAUCGGCCGAAGGGGAGUCAAGGUAAUCAAGCGGUUGCAAAGGCGCUUCAAACAACUACCAGGGAGAAGGUUGGAUGCAUCAGCUCGGGUGAUCAGCCAGGCAUGAGGAGGCUCCGGCGAGUCAAGGGGCAUGGUCUUUGAGGAAGAAGUGUGGCCAGCUAAGCAAGAGGGAGAUUUGAAUUUGAAUCUCAAAAUUCGCUGUUUGUGGAAACCAAAAAUAACUGAUGGACUCUUCCAACUCCUUGAAUCAUGAUCUCAGAUCAUUCCCAGGUUUAACAACAACAUGUUGUGACAGAUUAUGCGUUGUCAACCUCAGCAGAAGCCAGAAAAGCCUAUUGCAUCCACCAAAUGAGAAUACUAAUGAAAGAAUUGUCACCUUGAUCCGAGUCCUGUUGAAGGUGAAUGAGAACAUCCAUUGUUUAGAUUACAACUCCAUCUGAGCAUCUUCCAAUGUGUCAUCAUUUCUUCCCAAGAAUCAACAUCAUCCAAGAGUAUGCUACCUUAAGAAUUCCUCUCGAGUCAGCAGCGUUGUAACCAUCACUACCCUUUCAUCACUCAUUUUGAUGCCAUUAUCACUGCCAG
Molecule: long non-coding RNA, 2431 nt
Organism: Zingiber officinale
Lineage: Eukaryota; Viridiplantae; Streptophyta; Magnoliopsida; Zingiberales; Zingiberaceae
Exons: 10
Source: RefSeq, a predicted model, not a curated record